Molecule: ribosomal RNA, 1024 nt
Filed under: uncultured Rhizophagus
Lineage: Eukaryota; Fungi; Glomeromycota; Glomeromycetes; Glomerales; Glomeraceae
Description: eukaryotic LSU rRNA
Rfam family: Eukaryotic small subunit ribosomal RNA (bases 1-236)
Source: RNAcentral
GCUCUUCAACGAGGAAUGAAGAAGGCACAAGUCAUUAGCUUGUGCUGAUUACGUCCCUGGAUGGUGCACACCGCCCGUCGCUACUACCGAUUGAAUGGCUUAGUGAGGCCUUCGGAUUGAGAUUCGGAGUUUGGCAUUUCAACAUGAAGUUUUGAAAAGUUGGUCAAACUUGGUCAUUUAGAGGAAGUAAAAGUCGUAACAAGGUUUCCGUAGGUGAACCUGCGGAAGGAUCAUUACCAAUUUUAGCGAACCUGAUCCUUUGGGUUAUGGUUUCGCGAAAAAACUGUAUUUAAAACCUUUUCUCCUUUAUAUAUAAAAUGAAUCUUAUUAUAUAAUAAUAAAUAAAGAUCACUUUCAACAACGGAUCUCUUGGCCCUCGCAUCGAUGAAGAACGUAGCGAAGUGCGAUAAGUAAUGUGAAUUGCAUUUAUUCCGUGAAUCAUCGAAUCCCCUCCACCCGCAAAUUGCACUCUCUGGCAACCCGGGGAGUAUGCCUGUGUGGGGGUCAGUAUAAUUAAAAAUCGGUUCGUUGCAAUUAUUUUUGUGACGUUCCGGAGUUUGGGUUACCUUAACCUCUUUUGGUUAAGAGACCUAAAAUUGAUAUCUUUUGCGCAUUUUUAGACGUACAUAAAUUUUUUUUUAUUCGCCUAAUUUUUUAAUGCCAAAAUCUAUUAGUGCGACCAUGUAUAUGGGUUACGUGUCUAUAACUUUUUCAUGAUUUGACCUCAAAUCAGGUAGGAGUACCCGCUGAACUUAAGCAUAUCAUUAAGCGGAGGAAAAGAAAUAACAAUGAUUCCUUCAGUAACUGCGAGUGAAGAAGGAAGAGCUCAAACUUAAAUCUGUAUGGUUUACCUGACCGAGUGUAUUUGAAGAGGCGUUUUCUGAGUUUGAUCAUCCAAGUCCUUGGGAAUAAGGCAUCCACCGGAAGGUGGAGAAUCCCGUUCCGUUGAUCGAGAUUCUUCUUUAUGGAUACGUCAUCCAGGAGUCAAGUUUGUUAGGAAUGCCAGCUUAAAUGGGAGUAAAUU